This 463-nucleotide ribosomal RNA is filed under the name uncultured eukaryote. RNAcentral describes it as "bacterial SSU rRNA". It matches the Rfam family "Bacterial small subunit ribosomal RNA", at positions 29 to 489 of the family's 1533-position model. The record is from RNAcentral.
AAUGAACGCUGGCGGCGUGCUUACCCCCUGCAAGGCGAACGAGAAAGCACCUUCGGGUGUGAGUAGAGUGGCGCACGGGUGAGUAACGCGUAAGUAAUCUACCUUUAAGCUUGGGAUAACCACGGGAAACCGGGGCUAAUACCGGAUAAGCUCACGAGACCGUAAGGUCUAGUGAGAAAAGAUAGCCUCUUCUUGAAAGCUUUCACUUAGAGAUGAGCUUGCGUACCAUUAGUUAGUUGGUGGGGUAAAGGCCUACUAAGGCGAAGAUGGUUAGCUGGUUUGAGAGGACGAUCAGACACACUGGAACUGAGACACGGUCCAGACUCCUACGGGAGGCAGCAGUGGGGAAUUUUCCGCAAUGGGCGAAUGCCUGACGGAGCAAUACCGCGUGAAGGAAGACGGCCUAUGGGUUGUAAACUUCUUUUUUCAGGGAGGAAUUCAAUGACGUGUACCUGAAUAAUAA